This 421-nucleotide ribosomal RNA is filed under the name uncultured bacterium. RNAcentral describes it as "partial 16S ribosomal RNA". It matches the Rfam family "Bacterial small subunit ribosomal RNA", at positions 360 to 773 of the family's 1533-position model. The record is from RNAcentral.
AAUAUUGGACAAUGGGCGAAAGCCUGAUCCAGCCAUGCCGCGUGUGUGAAGAAGGUCUUCGGAUUGUAAAGCACUUUAAGUUGGGAGGAAGGGUUGUAGAUUAAUACUCUGCAAUUUUGACGUUACCGACAGAAUAAGCACCGGCUAACUUCGUGCCAGCAGCCGCGGUAAUACGAAGGGUGCAAGCGUUAAUCGGAAUUACUGGGCGUAAAGCGCGCGUAGGUGGUUCAGUAAGAUGGGUGUGAAAUCCCCGGGCUCAACCUGGGAACUGCUUUCAUAACUGCUGAGCUAGAGUACGGUAGAGGGUAGUGGAAUUUCCUGUGUAGCGGUGAAAUGCGUAGAGAUCUGGAGGAAUACCGAUGGCGAAGGCAGCCUUCUGGCAUCAUACUGACACUGAGGUGCGAAAGCGUGGGGAGCAAAC